GAACUGGUGGGGUGUGGAGCUAGGUCCCAAUGCGAGUGGUCGCAAGUCCGGGGAGCUCCAUGUAAAUGGGACGAAAUUAUUAACAUACCGGCAACACAGGGGACACCAUGACCACACAGACAGCCUCCAGGACCUCCUUACUAGAUGGGGAGAAAAUCUAAAAAACCGAGGCCGAAUAGCCCCAGGUUCACAGCCAAGGGAUUCACUGCGGAGGCCGCAUGACUUCUCAUGCGACUCUGGUGACUUACCUCUGCACAGCAUGGCUGAUCUGGACUAUAGGCGUCCAUCCAAGCCUUCUUCAACGAACAAGGUAAAAUUCCCUCCUGUCACAACACCCAUACUCACCAGUGUCCUUGCAGAUCUCAGGCCAUCACUCUCGUCUGAAAUCACACAAGCGAGGGAGGAGGUCAAAGGGUUUAAUGCACGAAUGGCCGCAGUGGAACAAACCAUGGAAACACAUACCUCACAGAUCUCUGAGUUGCAGAAACAAGUUCAAGACCUUACCUACGCCCAAGGUUACCCAAACCACCAACUAGCAGCACAGGAAGAUAGGAAAAAAUGGAAACACCUUAAAGGACCCCUCCACACCCCAAAAGCACUUCAUCUUGCUGAAGUGCUUUGUGGGUGAGGAGUAUCCUCGCUUAACCCAAGUUUAUAAAAGUGCUGAUUUAUAUGAGAAAUUAACUAGGGAACUCCCCCCUGGCUGUCCAUCAAACAGCCAGGGAGGAUUCCUUCCCACUUCCCUUCAUCCCUGCACAUUGGACCGGGUGCGCACACGUGCACGAACAGCCGUGUGUGCACACACGUGCAUGCACGGUCAGGUAUACGUGCAUGCAACAUUCUGCAUGAGCCGGUGCGUGCGUGGGGACCAAGUCAGAGGCUUCUUAAUGAGAAGUCUCUGAAAGUCUGUUCUGGGGGGAAAGAGGAGGGGCUUACAAAAGCUGCAGUCAUAAGAACUGUGGCUUUUGUAAGCUAUUUUAAACUAUAUUCCCAAUGAAUACAUACAUGAAAAUAGGAAGGUGGGAGUCUGUAAGUGUGGAGUGGUCCUUUAAGAUCAGGGGCCUGUCUGAUAGCAUCACCAUAGCAGAAAUGUCACAAUUCUCUACUGCCUUCAAAACAAAGAGCAUAACUCUUGGUGGCAUAUUUCACCUGCCCAAACCUCAACCAAGCACAGCAACCGCUACAAGCAAUCUCCUGGUAAAGUUCCAGAAUGGGCAGGAUAAGGCUGCUUUUCUGAAUACAACUAGGGGAAAGACCCCAUACCGAUUUGAAGAGACGGAUCCCACACAACUCUGCAGUGGAGGAAGACUCUCCGACCUGUGACAUCUAUCCUAAAUGCCAAAGGCACUUUGAAUUAUCACUUCGGUGAAUAACACUGAUAAUUGACUUGAAGUUUUAUUUACUUUUUACAUCCUUUUUACCAUUUUCGGAAUCAAUUCGUUUGAAGACUACCAGGAAUUUAUUUGGAUGAAUUGCAGGAAAAAAAAAAAUUAAACGUCAAAUAAAACAAAAAAAUGAUGCAAGAGUAAGCUUUGGUUUUUAAACAAAUCUUUCCCCCAAUGUCAGUGCUGGAUUUUCUGGAACACUAACAGAGUUUUUCACUAAAUUGACGAGAAUUUUAAGUUGAAGCCAAACUGGAAACAUACCUAAGUGGGAGAAUUUUUCCAGUUUGAUAUUAAGUUUGAAAUUGAUUUACAAUUUUCUGCAGUUUUCAGUUUAGUGAAUAACCCUUUUAGCUACUUUCACAAU
Molecule: non-coding RNA, 1749 nt
Organism: Pelobates cultripes (western spadefoot toad)
Lineage: Eukaryota; Metazoa; Chordata; Amphibia; Anura; Pelobatidae
Source: the annotation of a GenBank genome assembly